This 468-nucleotide ribosomal RNA is filed under the name uncultured bacterium. RNAcentral's name for it is "partial 16S ribosomal RNA". It matches the Rfam family "Bacterial small subunit ribosomal RNA", at positions 28 to 507 of the family's 1533-position model. The record is from RNAcentral.
GACGAACGCUGGCGGCGUGCUUAACACAUGCAAGUCGAACGGAAAGACCCUGCUUUUGUGGGGUGCUCGAGUGGCGAACGGGUGAGUAACACGUGAGUAACCUGCCCUUGACUUUGGGAUAACUUCAGGAAACUGGGGCUAAUACCGGAUAGGAGCUCCUGCUGCAUGGUGGGGGUUGGAAAGUUUCGGCGGUUGGGGAUGGACUCGCGGCUUAUCAGCUUGUUGGUGGGGUAGUGGCUUACCAAGGCUUUGACGGGUAGCCGGCCUGAGAGGGUGACCGGCCACAUUGGGACUGAGAUACGGCCCAGACUUCUACGGGAGGCAGCAGUGGGGAAUAUUGCACAAUGGGCGGAAGCCUGAUGCAGCAACGCCGCGUGCGGGAUGACGGCCUUCGGGUUGUAAACCGCUUUCGCCUGUGACGAAGCGUGAGUGACGGUAAUGGGUAAAGAAGCACCGGCUAACUACGUG